RNAcentral lists this ribosomal RNA (727 nucleotides) under Enterobacter sp. A11E. RNAcentral's name for it is "bacterial SSU rRNA". It matches the Rfam family "Bacterial small subunit ribosomal RNA", at positions 765 to 1495 of the family's 1533-position model. The record is from RNAcentral. Lineage: Bacteria; Pseudomonadati; Pseudomonadota; Gammaproteobacteria; Enterobacterales; Enterobacteriaceae.
GGAGCAAACAGGAUUAGAUACCCUGGUAGUCCACCCGUAAACGAUUUCGACUUGGAGGUUGUGCCCUUGAGGGUGGCUUCCGGAGCUAACGCUUAAGUCGACCGCCUGGGGAGUACGGCCGCAAGGUUAAAACUCAAAUGAAUUGACGGGGGCCCGCCCAAGCGGUGGAGCAUGUGGUUUAAUUCGAUGCAACGCGAAGAACCUUACCUACUCUUGACAUCCAGAGAACUUAGCAGAGAUGCUUUGGUGCCUUCGGGAACUCUGAGACAGGUGCUGCAUGGCUGUCGUCAGCUCGUGUUGUGAAAUGUUGGGUUAAGUCCCGCAACGAGCGCAACCCUUAUCCUUUGUUGCCAGCGGUCCGGCCGGGAACUCAAAGGAGACUGCCAGUGAUAAACUGGAGGAAGGUGGGGAUGACGUCAAGUCAUCAUGGCCCUUACGAGUAGGGCUACACACGUGCUACAAUGGCGCAUACAAAGAGAAGCGACCUCGCGAGAGCAAGCGGACCUCAUAAAGUGCGUCGUAGUCCGGAUUGGAGUCUGCAACUCGACUCCAUGAAGUCGGAAUCGCUAGUAAUCGUGGAUCAGAAUGCCACGGUGAAUACGUUCCCGGGCCUUGUACACACCGCCCGUCACACCAUGGGAGUGGGUUGCAAAAGAAGUAGGUAGCUUAACCUUCGGGAGGGCGCUUACCACUUUGUGAUUCAUGACUGGGGUGAAGUCGUAACAAG